CCUGAGCACACUACAUUCCCCCCCUUUGUGAACCUGUUUCACGCACAAGCACUGGCAGGGAGCAGGGGAGAAGCAGGACUCAGUGGUGCGCUCAGGGGAGGAGGCAGAGUGGAGGCGAGCUGGGGGCAGCAAUUAUUUCUGAGCCUAGGGGCGGCAAAAUCAUUAAUCCGCCACUGGUGGUGGAAAGAGGCAGAGAAGGGAUUUCACGUGAAAUCCCAUGUUCUUCGAUAUAGGGCAAAGGACUUCUUAAUUCAGAAGCCUGUCCCUCUUCUUGGAGGGAGAGAAGUUCCAUUUUGACACCAGGAUGUCUACAUCCUCUGAACAUGCUCACGCUGUGCCAGACUCACCGAUUCCUGCCAGUGCCAGAUGAUUGUGGUGCUCUUGGCAUAGGACCUAGGUUGGCAACAGCUGCCAUUUCACCCAUCACUGAGCUUAAAAACAAGGGGGAGGGGGAGAAAAAGAGAGAUUGUUAAGAUUUGGAGUUACAAUUAAGAUCUUAGGUAGCAGCUUUCAUCUUAACGCCUUUUGCAAUGGGUUUCUAGACUAGAGCACAUGGGAAUCGUUGGUGCACAGGGGUGCAAUGCAGGACAAAAAUCCUAAAGGGUUAUCCAUGAGCCACACCGCAAUGGCAUAUUCCUUUUCCCCCCUCCCCCAAAUGUUCUGCUUGGGCAGGACUAGGAGAUGCCCUAUGACCCCACUCAACACCACAGAUUUACACGUGUAUUCUGCAGCAUGAACCCAAAGCAAGUCCUGGUCAUCUUCUAUGCCACCUGUCCAUUGAGGCAGCAGCAGUGCCCAGGCAGAGCCAGUGAGAACUGAGCCCUGAAGAGACCUGUAUGCAACUGGGGAACCACUCAGAGGAGGUUGUCCAGAAGCUGUUCAGUUCCGGACAGACUUCCCCAGGACAUCACUGCAGUGUCACUUCAGGGACUGUGUGUCUGCAGCUCUCCAGUUAAGGGAUAUUUGAGCUACAUAUAACCUGCCUUGGGUUUGUGUCAGGGAAGGCAGACCAGGGCUCAACACAUCAAGGAGGUGGCUGUAUCCAAGUCUGAGGCAACACCUUAAUUUAGCCCAGGAAGCAAAUUCCAUCACUGCUAGUGAGACAUAGGAGGAAUUUGGGUCAUCAGAACUCUGCCGAAACAGAAGUAUGGCCAGGAUUCCAGGAACAAUAGCCACCUGUUUUUGAGAUGUGCUAAGGAUUUAAUGGCCAUAAGCACCAUUAAAGGACAGCACCUUCAGAAACAUAGGCUCCUGGCACCAGAGGAAGUGUGCCCCCAACAGGAACAAUUCACUCCACUACCUGCAGCAGCUUGGUAUUCCCUGAAAGCCUGUCCAAGCAUUGACAAAGAUCACCGCUCUGCAUGGUCUGUCUGUAGACAUAGCUAUAUGAACUUGUCCAGAGGAUUCCAAGUUUGCAGUCCAGGCAUAGAAUUGGAAGACACAGAAACCUGUGUAGCUGCAACAAGAGGGUCUUCACUUCCAAGGACAGACACUCAAUUCUUAGUCUGAACAGAGGCAUUUAGAUGAGAGGGUCUUAGGUCACUAGAACAUGACACAUUGGACAAUACACUGUUAGCUGGAAUGUGACCUUACUUUGUGGAUGCCUGGGAGAUGGCCCCUGGGGAGAUUGUUCUGGCUGCUGACCAUUUGCUUGAGGCCAAGCAUUAGAAGAAACCUGCAUUUGAAGUUGAGAAAGGUAGGGGCAUGUGAAUUGCCAUACCACAUCGGACCAGUGGUCCGUCUGGUCCAGUGUCCUCUCUCUGACUGUUCAGCAUCAGGUAUUUCAGAAGAUGGUGCAAAAAGCUCUCUAAUACAGUGGUUCUCAGCCAGGAGUACAUGUACCCCUGGGGGUAGGCAGAGGUCUUCCAGGAGGUACAACAAUUCAUCUAGAUAUUUGCCUAGUUUUACAACAGGCUACAUAAAAAGCACUAGC
Dermochelys coriacea (leatherback sea turtle) is the source of this 1933-nucleotide long non-coding RNA. RefSeq lists it as uncharacterized. The record is from RefSeq and is a predicted model, not a curated record. The transcript is spliced from 3 exons. NCBI's taxonomy places the organism in Eukaryota, Metazoa, Chordata, Testudines, Dermochelyidae.